RNAcentral lists this non-coding RNA (27 nucleotides) under Homo sapiens (human). The record is from RNAcentral. Lineage: Eukaryota; Metazoa; Chordata; Mammalia; Primates; Hominidae.
UCUAUAGAGUUCCUAUACAGGGUUCCU